GAUGAACGCUAGCUACAGGCUUAACACAUGCAAGUCGAGGGGCAGCAUAAACAUUGCUUGCAAUGUUUGAUGGCGACCGGCGCACGGGUGCGUAACGCGUAUGUAACCUACCUCAAACAGGGGCAUAACACUGAGAAAUUGGUACUAAUUCCCCAUAACACUCAUAAAGGCAUCUUUUUGAGUUGAAAUUCCGGCGGUUUGAGAUGGACAUGCGUUGUAUUAGCUAGUUGGUGAGGUAACGGCUCACCAAGGCGACGAUACAUAGGGGGACUGAGAGGUUAACCCCCCACAUUGGUAACCUGUAGACACGGACCAAACUCCUACGGGAGGCAGCAGUGAGGAA
RNAcentral lists this ribosomal RNA (343 nucleotides) under uncultured bacterium. Its description in RNAcentral is "bacterial SSU rRNA". It matches the Rfam family "Bacterial small subunit ribosomal RNA", at positions 28 to 361 of the family's 1533-position model. The record is from RNAcentral.